RNAcentral lists this ribosomal RNA (20 nucleotides) under Fusarium oxysporum. RNAcentral's name for it is "partial 18S ribosomal RNA". Lineage: Eukaryota; Fungi; Ascomycota; Sordariomycetes; Hypocreales; Nectriaceae. The record is from RNAcentral.
UUUCGUAGGUAACCUGGGGG